Molecule: RNA transcript, 1488 nt
Organism: Rhodamnia argentea
Lineage: Eukaryota; Viridiplantae; Streptophyta; Magnoliopsida; Myrtales; Myrtaceae
Exons: 4
Source: RefSeq, a predicted model, not a curated record
CCUCAUAUGAUCCGUCCCAUCUUUGCCGAAAAAACAAUGGAAAAUAAAACUGAAAAGCAAACACUAUGCAGCAAAAUUAAAGAAGCAGAAUCAGUCCGGUCUGGCCCCUUAAACCCUUCUUACAUGCAGAGAAGCAGAGGCGACUCGGAGGGUUGAAGAACCGGGAGGCCACCUUAUCGCGUGCCCACUCAUGGCAGCAACAGCGGUAGCAGAAGCUGAGAGCAUGUGAACUUUGCGAGGGCUUGGCUGCAAUUUGGAAAUGGCUUCCGUCUUCCCUUCGUCUCCAUCUCUCGAUAGUCUCUUUAAAUCGUAUCGUGGGAAUCGUUCUCCUCCCAAUCCUCCUGGGCAAUUCAGGCUGGGUUGUCCACGGUAUAGCAAAGGAUAUAAAAACUUCAGAAUUGAACAAAUGAGUGUGGUUCAUAAUGGUAGGCAUCCUCUUUUGUGUGCAAUGGGAAUGGCUGCAAGACACUCGGGCGAUCCUGAAAGAGUGAGUUUUCAUCAUCUAUUAGAUAAGGGGAAGAAGUUGUGGGACAAUUCACCAGAGCCAGUCAAGAGGUUCCCUUGGAUCCGAGCUUUGGAGAAUUUCAUUCAACUCAUUCUUGAUGUUGUCUUGGCAGUAUGCAAGUUCUUGUGUGUACCCUUAUUGGCUGUAUCUUCCCUAAGCGAGAUGUCCUAUUGUGCUCAUGAAAAGAAGCUGCGACUUGUGCCUUUGCCCAUUCUCUUUGGCAUUGCUUUUGCUGGGGUGUUAAAUGGCACGGCACUGGAAUUAUCUCCACUGCUUAAGCAGGAUGCAGAAGUGCCAUGGCAUCUGAUUGCCAUUGCUGUUUUCUUUACGAUGCUGAAACUGCCAGGACCUUAUUACCCUUACUGGGGUCGCAUACUGAUUCCUCACUUUGCAAAUGGGGGGCUAUUGAGAAUUUUGUGGUAUGCAUUUUUGUGGAAUAGAAGGCCCCAGAAGGGACUGGUCUAAAUUUUCUGAAUGGUGGCCUGCGGUUUUCAGAGGUAUGGAAGUCAUUCUUCUUAUCUUCUGCAAUGAUGGUCUCACCGCCUAAUUGUCCGUCCACCUUGGGUUGUGGCAGGUUAUAACCGCUACAAGGAAAAUGACUAUUAAUGUCAUUAUCGUAAGCAUCGGCACAUCAGUGGCAGCCGCUGCAUGGAAGCUGAAUGGAGGUGCAGGAGCAUGGCUUGCCGCAUAGCUGCUAAAUCAACCGAUUUUGCCAUUAUUUGGGUUUACUCCCCAUUUUUAUGGUUGAAUACUUCUCUCCUUAGGGGGAAUCAUACAGAAAUUAUAGUCUCUAGUUAUGCUUCCACAGGAACCGUAGAGUUCGGAUUUGUGCGGUUCUUUUAUAUUUCUUCCUCCGUGAUUUUGCCCCCCUCAAGCCCAGUUCUUUUUCAUAUCUCGUGGUGCCAAACCAAAAAAAAAAAAAAAUCUAACCGUCUAAAGAUUGCAGUUCCUUACUACCCUUAAACGAAUCGUCGAUUGCCAUC